GCGUUUGAAUUAAUUGGUUUUGGUCAGAUUUCUCCAUCCAUUUCUGCAAGUACGAGUGCUCCUCCUGUUAGCACCCUAUGGACCAUGUAAGGACCUUGCCAGUUGGGAGAGAAUUUCUUGGGCUUCGUCUUAACGUGGGAAGAUCUUCUUCAAUACCAGCUAUCCUGGUGCGAACUGUCUUAGCGUCGAUGGUCAGCAUAAUGAACUUUGAUAGGAGGCGUAGUACUAAAUAUGAGUGUAUUAGGAGAAAUCAUAGACAUGAUGUUGGGGAAAAUCAGUGUAGAUCUUCACUCGUAAAGCAUAUUAGAGCUCCUGUUCAUCUUGUUUGAUCAUUAGUGAGGAGGUUUGAUCAGCCACAAAGAUAUAAACCAUUUGUGAGCACUCAGCAGGUGCAUCGUGCAAUGGGACCUUGAAAUUGGUUGUGUCAGAGAAGUGAAUGUUAAGUCUGGACUCCCAGCUACCACAAGUAAGGAGAGAUUAGAGCGUCUAAAUGACGAGGAGCACGUCUUUUGGUGUAAAGAUUGUGGGUGGAGAUCACAGGCUCAGGGUAUGAAUAUUUUAUCUUCUCAUUUGACAUGUUAAUCGGCUUGUUAGAUGCUUAUUUUAUGUGCGGGAAACCUUGUUAAACGGGGAAAAAAUUAUAUGUGCUGUCAACUUUGUUGAGGUAAUGUGUUUUGAGCUUCUAAUUGAAGUUUCAUUUUCCUAAAAGAAGGAAUACAGAAUCUGAUGUCUUUCCAAUGGUAGUAAACUAUGCUGCUCCAGCCAUCUCGCAUCUUCGUGUUAAUUCAAUAAGUUUAACUAUUUGUUCUUCA
Long non-coding RNA from Nicotiana tabacum (common tobacco), 812 nucleotides. RefSeq lists it as uncharacterized. The record is from RefSeq and is a predicted model, not a curated record. Lineage: Eukaryota; Viridiplantae; Streptophyta; Magnoliopsida; Solanales; Solanaceae.